CUACGGGUCGCUGCAGUGAGGAAUUUUGCGCAAUGGGCGAAAGCCUGACGCAGCAACGCCGCGUGGGUGAUGAAGGCCUUCGGGUCGUAAAGCCCUGUCAAGUGGGAAGAACCCACAGGGUGCGAACAGUACUCUGUGCUGACGGUACCACUGAAGGAAGCACCGGCUAACUCCGUGCCAGCAGCCGCGGUAAUACGGGGGGUGCAAGCGUUAUUCGGAAUCAUUGGGCGUAAAGGGCGCGUAGGCGGCCACUUAAGUCAGAUGUGAAAGCCCGGGGCUUAACCUCGGAAGUGCAUUUGAAACUGGGUGGCUCGAGUAUGGGAGAGGGAAGCGGAAUUCCUGGUGUAGAGGUGAAAUUCGUAGAUAUCAGGAGGAACACCUGUGGCGAAGGCGGCUUCCUGGACCAAUACUGACGCUGAGGCGCGAAGGCGUGGGGAGCAAACAGGAUUAGAUACCCUAGUAGUC
This 465-nucleotide ribosomal RNA is filed under the name uncultured bacterium. RNAcentral describes it as "partial 16S ribosomal RNA". It matches the Rfam family "Bacterial small subunit ribosomal RNA", at positions 339 to 795 of the family's 1533-position model. The record is from RNAcentral.